GAUGAACGCUGGCGGCGUGCCUAAUACAUGCAAGUCGAGCGAACAGACGAGGAGCUUGCUCCUCUGACGUUAGCGGCGGACGGGUGAGUAACACGUGGAUAACCUACCUAUAAGACUGGGAUAACUUCGGGAAACCGGAGCUAAUACCGGAUAAUAUAUUGAACCGCAUGGUUCAAUAGUGAAAGACGGUUUUGCUGUCACUUAUAGAUGGAUCCGCGCCGCAUUAGCUAGUUGGUAAGGUAACGGCUUACCAAGGCAACGAUGCGUAGCCGACCUGAGAGGGUGAUCGGCCACACUGGAACUGAGACACGGUCCAGACUCCUACGGGAGGCAGCAGUAGGGAAUCUUCCGCAAUGGGCGAAAGCUUGACGGAGCAACGCCGCGUGAGUGAUGAAGGUCUUCGGAUCGUAAAACGCUGUUAUUAGGGAAGAACAAAUGUGUAAGUGACUAUGCACGUCUUGACGGUACCUAAUCAGAAAGCCACGGCUAACUACGU
This 496-nucleotide ribosomal RNA is filed under the name uncultured bacterium. Its description in RNAcentral is "partial 16S ribosomal RNA". It matches the Rfam family "Bacterial small subunit ribosomal RNA", at positions 28 to 506 of the family's 1533-position model. The record is from RNAcentral.